CAGCCGCCGCGGUAAUACGUAGGUGGCAAGCGUCGUCCGGAAUUAUUGGGCGUAAAGGGCUCGCAGGCGGUUUCUUAAGUCUGAUGUGAAGGCCCCCGGCUCAACCGGGGAGGGUCAUUGGAAACUGGGAAACUUGAGUGCAGAAGAGGAGAGUGGAAUUCCACGUGUAGCGGUGAAAUGCGUAGAGAUGUGGAGGAACACCAGUGGCGAAGGCGACUCUCUGGUCUGUAACUGACGCUGAGGAGCGAAAGCGUGGGGAGCGAACAGGAUUAGAUACCCCGGUAGUCCCUGUCUCUUAUAC
RNAcentral lists this ribosomal RNA (301 nucleotides) under uncultured bacterium. RNAcentral's name for it is "partial 16S ribosomal RNA". It matches the Rfam family "Bacterial small subunit ribosomal RNA", at positions 509 to 807 of the family's 1533-position model. The record is from RNAcentral.